GAUAAGGAAAGAGAGCCACACACAACCGACGUCUGAGAAAAAGCUCAAUCGUAUCCAGCGUCUUUGCCUAAAAGAAAAGGAAGAAGGGAAGGAGAUGCGAGAAGGAGAAACGAAACGGCAGUCCCAGAAUCCCAGGAGAUGCUUCAUUGCUGAAUUCUGAGGUUUUGGACCAUUGGGGUUGCUAGGUGUGCGUUCAAGUUAGUUUACUGAUAAUCUGAUGCGAUAACGUGGUGGAAGUUUGGACUCUUCCUGGGACUUGGGAUCAUCUGGAGCUAGUUGAAAACGAUGUACCAACAAAUAAAAGGGAAUUAUACUUCUCUUUCCCUUUCGGUUUUUUCAUUUUUGGCCUCAAAUUAGAAUACUUGUGGUUGAGAAGUUA
This is a non-coding RNA of Coffea arabica (coffee), 379 nucleotides long. The record is from RefSeq and is a predicted model, not a curated record. NCBI's taxonomy places the organism in Eukaryota, Viridiplantae, Streptophyta, Magnoliopsida, Gentianales, Rubiaceae.